GUGGGGAAUCUUGCGCAAUGGGCGAAAGCCUGACGCAGCCAUGCCGCGUGAAUGAUGAAGGUCUUAGGAUUGUAAAAUUCUUUCACCGGGGACGAUAAUGACGGUACCCGGAGAAGAAGCCCCGGCUAACUUCGUGCCAGCAGCCGCGGUAAUACGAAGGGGGCUAGCGUUGCUCGGAAUUACUGGGCGUAAAGGGCGCGUAGGCGGACAGUUUAGUCAGAGGUGAAAGCCCAGGGCUCAACCUUGGAAUUGCCUUUGAUACUGGCUGUCUUGAGUACGGGAGAGGUGAGUGGAACUCCGAGUGUAGAGGUGAAAUUCGUAGAUAUUCGGAAGAACACCAGUGGCGAAGGCGACUCACUGGCCCGUUACUGACGCUGAGGUGCGAAAGCAUGGGGAGCAAACAGGAUUAGAAACCCGUGUAGUCC
This 425-nucleotide ribosomal RNA is filed under the name uncultured bacterium. RNAcentral describes it as "partial 16S ribosomal RNA". It matches the Rfam family "Bacterial small subunit ribosomal RNA", at positions 354 to 796 of the family's 1533-position model. The record is from RNAcentral.